GAUGAACGCUGGCGGCGCGCCUAACACAUGCAAGUCGAACGAUUAAAGCACCUUCGGGUGUGUAUAAAGUGGCGAACGGCUGAGUAACACGUGGGCAACCUGCCCCUUUCAUUGGGAUAGCCACGGGAAACCGUGGAUAAUACCGAAUACUUCGAGACUUCCGCAUGGAAGACUCGAGAAAGCUCCGGCGGAGAGGGAUGGGCCCGCGGCCUUUUAGCUUGUUUGUGGGGUAACGGCAUACCAAGGCAAUGAUGGGUAGCUGGGUUGAGAGACCGAACAGCCAGAUUGGGACUGAGACACGGCCCAGACUCCUACGGGAGGCAGAAGUGGGGAAUCUUGCACAAUGGGCGAAAGCCUGAUGCAGCGACGCCGCGUGCGGGAUGAAGGCCUUCGGGUUGUAAACCGCUUUCAGCAGGGACGAGGCGAAAGUGACGGUACCUGCAGAAGAAGCCCCGGCUAACUACGUG
RNAcentral lists this ribosomal RNA (467 nucleotides) under uncultured bacterium. RNAcentral describes it as "partial 16S ribosomal RNA". It matches the Rfam family "Bacterial small subunit ribosomal RNA", at positions 28 to 507 of the family's 1533-position model. The record is from RNAcentral.